This 253-nucleotide ribosomal RNA is filed under the name uncultured bacterium. RNAcentral describes it as "partial 16S ribosomal RNA". It matches the Rfam family "Bacterial small subunit ribosomal RNA", at positions 524 to 776 of the family's 1533-position model. The record is from RNAcentral.
UACGUAGGGGGCUAGCGUUGUCCGGAUUUAUUGGGCGUAAAGAGCGUGUAGGCGGCCAAGUAGGUCCGGUGUGAAAACUCGAGGCUUAACCUCGAGAUGUCGGCGGAAACCAUCUGGCUAGAGUCCGGAAGAGGCGAGUGGAACUCCUGGUGUAGCGGUGGAAUGCGCAGAUAUCAGGAAGAACACCGACGGCGAAGGCAGCUCGCUGGGACGGUACUGACGCUGAGGCGCGAAAGCGUGGGGAGCGAACAGG